Molecule: non-coding RNA, 28 nt
Filed under: Cricetulus griseus (Chinese hamster)
Lineage: Eukaryota; Metazoa; Chordata; Mammalia; Rodentia; Cricetidae
Source: RNAcentral
CUUACCACGCCACCACCGGCCCACUGAG